GGUCCUACGGGAGGCAGCAGUGGGGAAUAUUGGGCAAUGGGCGCAAGCCUGAACGAGCAAUGCCGCGUGAACGAGGAAGGUCUUCGGAUCGUAAAGUUCUGUUGAAGGGGAAAAAGAGCGGAGAGAGGAAAUGAACUCCGAUUGAUAUUACCCUUCGAGGAAGUCACGGCUAACUACGUGCCAGCAGCCGCGGUAAUACGUAGGUGGCGAGCGUUAUCCGGAAUGAUUGGGCGUAAAGGGUGCGUAGGCGGCCUGCUAAGUCUGGAGUGAAAGGUACCGGCUCAACCGGUAUAGGCUCUGGAAAC
This 305-nucleotide ribosomal RNA is filed under the name uncultured bacterium. RNAcentral's name for it is "bacterial SSU rRNA". It matches the Rfam family "Bacterial small subunit ribosomal RNA", at positions 335 to 633 of the family's 1533-position model. The record is from RNAcentral.